GCCUGCGGCCGCGCCACCCUGAAGGCGCCUCAUCUCGUCUGAUCCGGAAGCUAAGCAGGGCCGGGCCUGGUUAGGACUUGGAUGGGAGACCGCCUGGGAAGACCGGGUGCUGUAGGCG
Molecule: ribosomal RNA, 118 nt
Filed under: Pteropus alecto (black flying fox)
Lineage: Eukaryota; Metazoa; Chordata; Mammalia; Chiroptera; Pteropodidae
Source: RNAcentral